UCCGUAGGUGAACCUGCGGAAGGAUCAUUAAAGAUUCUAAGGCUUCGGUCUUAAUUUCGGCUGUGCGCUCAGGCUGCACGCCGWUAACCUCUCACACCUGUGCACCUUUUCGGUUGCGGUUUCGGCCGCUUCCGCUUUUACAUGCAACCACGAAAAGUCUAGAAUGUGACGAGAACUAUAAAGUAACAACUUUCAACAACGGAUCUCUUGGCUCUCGCAUCGAUGAAGAACGCAGCGAAAUGCGAUAAGUAAUGUGAAUUGCAGAAUUCAGUGAAUCAUCGAAUCUUUGAACGCACCUUGCGCUCCUUGGUAUUCCAUGGAGCAUGCCUGUUUGAGUGUCACGUAAACCCUCACCCCUGCGAUGUAACAGUCGCCUGCGGUGGACUUGGACCGUGCCGGUAAUCGGCUCGUCUUGAAAUGCAUUARCUGGYGCUUUUAGAGUGCUGGGCGAACGGUGUGAUAAUUAUCUGCGCCGACUGCCCUGGGCCUCUUCAGCGGCGCUGCUUACAGCCGUCCCUUGUGGACAACUAUUUUAAAGCUUUGGCCUCAAAUGCAGGUAGGACUACCCGCUGAACUUAAGCAUAUCAAUAAGCGGAGGA
Molecule: ribosomal RNA, 599 nt
Filed under: Auricularia auricula-judae (jelly ear fungus)
Lineage: Eukaryota; Fungi; Basidiomycota; Agaricomycetes; Auriculariales; Auriculariaceae
Description: eukaryotic LSU rRNA
Rfam family: 5.8S ribosomal RNA (bases 188-341)
Source: RNAcentral